AACAAAUAUUUCAGUGAAAGAUGAAGUUUUUCGGCAAAUUAUUCUAUUUCUUUCUCAUAGGCAUCAUGGCGACAAUGGGCAUGAAUAUAAAAAAAUCUGUUUUUGAGAUGAAGAAAGUAGCUUGUGGAAAUCGGACGCCUAAUAUCACUGGUUCCGCAUAGAUGACAAUCUGUAUAAAAUGCAAAUAACACUAAACAAUAUUAUAUUACAAUGAUCUAGACCACGGAUGGAUCUAAAAAAAUUAUGGACACCUUGAAAGAAACUGAAAAAUAUAUUAUCUCCAUAACUAUUAUUCUUUGUGAUUACUAACAGAUUCUUUGUAUGUUUGAUAAAAUUAAAAAAAUCUUUAAUAUAUAUAUAUAUAUGUACAUGAAUAAACAAAAUUAAGAAAAUCUA
Atta colombica is the source of this 396-nucleotide long non-coding RNA. RefSeq lists it as uncharacterized. NCBI's taxonomy places the organism in Eukaryota, Metazoa, Arthropoda, Insecta, Hymenoptera, Formicidae. The transcript has 3 exons. The record is from RefSeq and is a predicted model, not a curated record.